GACAGAGGUGCCAAGCGUUAGGCGGAAUCACUGGGCUUAAAGCGUGUGUAGGCGGAUGUCUAAGUACCUUGUGAAAUCCCACGGCUCAACCGUGGAACUGCUUGGUAUACUGGAUGUCUUGAGCCAGCUAGGGGCUACCGGAACAAAUGGUGGAGCGGUGAAAUGCGUAGAUAUCAUUUGGAACGCCAAUGGUGAAAACAGGUAGCUGGGGCUGUGCUGACGCUGAGACACGAAGCCAGGGAGCAAACGGG
Molecule: ribosomal RNA, 251 nt
Filed under: uncultured bacterium
Lineage: Bacteria
Description: partial 16S ribosomal RNA
Rfam family: Bacterial small subunit ribosomal RNA
Source: RNAcentral